Molecule: long non-coding RNA, 1950 nt
Organism: Cairina moschata (Muscovy duck)
Lineage: Eukaryota; Metazoa; Chordata; Aves; Anseriformes; Anatidae
Source: Ensembl
GCAGCAUCCCCUGCAGGAGGUGUAUUAGAGGGCACCAUACAGCGAGCUGCUGUAUCGCUAGUUAGCUCUGUUCCAGUGUGCACAGAAUAUUUUAAAGCACUCUUUCUUUUUUACCUUUUUAGGCUAUCCAGGCUUCACAGAGUACUGAAAGGUCUGAAAUGAGUGGAGAAGAAGCUGGGUGUUGCAGCAAGGCGAUCACAGAAUCAGUAAGGUUGGAAAGACCUCGAAGAUCAUCUGGUCCAACCAUCUGCCUGCCACCACUACUGCCCACUGAACCACAUCCCUAAGCACACAGCACAUCUGCCCUUCCCUUAAACAUCUCCAGGGGUGACUCCACCACUUCCCUGGGCGCCCCAUUCCAGUGCCUUACCGCUCUUCCUGAGAAGAAAUUUUUCUUAAUAUCCAAUCUGAGUAAAGUACAAACACAUCUGGAGUAAACACUGCUACACCCCUCUACACCCCUUUCUGACUGGGUGGAAUGGAAAUGGGGGUUCUGGAAAAAUAAAACGAGCAAAGGAAUUGUUUUCUACAAAGUGGCUCUCGCUAGGGAAGAACAAAGUGAAGCCGGUCCUGCAUCGCCAGUUUGCCUUCGUCAGACGGAGAUUUCUGCCCAUGGACAAUGGAGACGGAGAGCGCAGAACAUGGAGCGAAGCCACCUUUUGUUCCAGGCCAGCAGCACGAAUUCCUGGCCUCGUCCUCUUCAGUUCACGAGGAGGAUGGAGGUGUCUACAGCUUCUUCUGUCCAUGGAGCAGCCAGCACGGUCCCGGGGAGGAACCCGACUGCGUGUCCCCAGGGGAGGACUCCUCACCUGUCCCCGGGACAGCCUGCGGGCACCAGCCGGGUGGCGUCAGCCUCACAGAGGGUCACAUGUGGCACAGAGGCGGCAGCAGAAAUGAGAAUGAAUCGCCCAGAAGUGAUCAAGUGUUGGCUUUGAAUGCACAUUCUCAGGCAAAGCACAGGCGUGUGCUCGAGGAGAGUGAAAUGGACGCUGCAUGGCAGCUCGAGUCGCUCUGGGCAGCGCUGAGGACUGAGCAGGGCAUCCUGGGCGGGGAGGAAGAUGAGGAUGAUGUCUUCCUUCCUUCUCCUGGGCAAACGGCAACGUGGCCCGGCUGGCAGGGCUUCUGAAUUCUUUGGGAAGGGCAACAGCAGCCCGAGGCAAUGCAGGCUCGCGCCCCGCGCUGUGAGCAGCGUGGUCUGGCCGCCUGCCCUGCGCCGGGGCGCUUCCCAGGGCCGCGGCAGCGAUGGGACCAGGCGCCAGCGCCGAGACGGGGCCGCAGCCGGCCCACUGCUGGCACAUGGUUUACAAGCAGCAGCCCCAAGGCAUCCCUGUAAUUCGGGAAGGAAAGGUGCCUUUGUUUUGAUGUUGUGUUUUGUUAAGAGCCUCGUAAAGCGUGGAUGUUUCCAAGCGUGUGGCUCAGAGACACAAGUCCGUGGUGCUCUGGAGGUGCCGCUGGAGCCCAUCCCUCCCCAUGCUGGGGCUGAACAGCACGCACGGGGCUGCGGGCCGGCAUUUCCCUGAGUCAAAGCAGCACUGCUGUGUCAGCCUGUGGGCUGUCAGGGCAGAAAUUCUGCCCUUACAUCUCCCCCCUUUGCUUUCCUCCUCCGGCUCUCGGCCUGCCGUGGGCCAGGGCAGCAGAGCACAGCCCAGCCCUCGGCGAGGAGCCGCGGAGCUGCCCCGCUGCUGGCGGCGUGGGUCCAAGGGCAGGACGUUCCCAGCGGCCACAGGGGGCCGGGGGAAGAAAAGAAUUUGCUGUUAAAUAAUAAAGCUUUUGUGCAUGAGUGUUUGCCUGAAGCGUGCUCUGAAGUGUCCUUUGAGUUUUUCUGGCAUCCCCAAAGGUUAGCAGCAGUGUGUGGCCCCCGUCCAGCCUGGAAAUGCCUCUCGGGGCUGCGGCUGGUGGGCUCGGGCCGGGCCCUCACUGUGCUGCUCCGUCCCCUGAGCGAGAAGCGCC